GUCCACGCCGUAAACGAUGAUUACUGGUUGUGUGCGAUAUACAGUGCGCGACUGAGGGAAACCAUUAAGUAAUCCACCUGGGGAGUACGUUCGCAAGAAUGAAACUCAAAGGAAUUGACGGGGGCCCGCACAAGCGGAGGAACAUGUGGUUUAAUUCGAUGAUACGCGAGGAACCUUACCUGGGCUUAAAUGUAGAGUGCAUGGCUUGGAAACAGGCCUUUCCUUCGGGACUCUUUACAAGGUGCUGCAUGGUUGUCGU
RNAcentral lists this ribosomal RNA (259 nucleotides) under uncultured bacterium. RNAcentral's name for it is "partial 16S ribosomal RNA". It matches the Rfam family "Bacterial small subunit ribosomal RNA", at positions 793 to 1055 of the family's 1533-position model. The record is from RNAcentral.